RNAcentral lists this long non-coding RNA (4278 nucleotides) under Homo sapiens (human). Its description in RNAcentral is "long non-coding RNA NONHSAT182043.1". Lineage: Eukaryota; Metazoa; Chordata; Mammalia; Primates; Hominidae. The record is from RNAcentral.
GAGGAGAGAAAGUGGAGUUUGAGUAUAAAUAACUCUUUUGGAGAGGAUUGGUGUAAUUGAAUGGCAGGGGUAUGAGAUUUGAGGUCAAGGAAAUAUUUUUAUUAUUUUUUACGAUGAGAGAAAUUGUAGUACACAUGUAUAUUUAUGGGAAUGACUCAGUAGAAAGACCAAAAAUUUCAUAUGUGAGAGAAGGACCAAUUGAUGAAGCGAUGUUCUUGCGUGGGCGCGAGGAUGGGAUCGAGUGCACAGCGGAAGGUGGCACUUAGGAACACGCAGCACUCGUCCAUGCCAGCAGGAGGCAAGGCAGAAUGGAGUUUGAUGUCAUCACCCUGCAAACGAUGAAACAAAUCCCCAUUUUAUUGAUGACUGAUAACUUCAAAUGUGACAAGAGGAUUCAUUUCCUUAUUCAAUCAUUCCACAAAUAUUCACUGAGCAUCUCCUACGUGCCAGGCACCAGGCUGGACUUUAGGAUCAAUCAUAAUAAUUUUCAGGUUAUGGAUAAUGCCAAUGGGCACUUAGGAUGAUCAGGGAGGGCAGUUCUGAGAAGGGGCAUAUGAGCUGUGUUCCAGUUGUCUAUUGCUGUGUGACAAACUGCCCCAAAACUUAAUGGCUUAAAACAAUGACAGAAAUUACAUUACUCAUGAAUCUGCAGUUUAGGCAGGUGGGGACAGCAUGUCUCUGCUCCACCUAACAUCAGCUGAAGGUGGGAACUGGAAUCAUCUGGAGGCUUCCUCACUUACAUGUCUAGUGGUUGAUGCUGACUGAUGUUGGCUGUUGGCAAGGACCUCUGACAGGUCUGUUCCCCGAAACACCUGCAUGUGGUACAUGGCUUUGUCACAGCAUGAUGGCUGGGUUCCAAGGGUGAGCCUCACAAGACAGAGAACCAGGUGGAGGCUGUGCCAUCUUUGGUCACCUAGUCUAAGAAGUUACAGUCACUUCUAUACCAUUUAAUUCAUUAGUAGCAAGCCACUGAGGCUAGUCCAUGUUCAAGAGGAGGGGAAUUGGAUUCCCCCUUUUUUUAGGAUAGAAAAGAAUUUGUGGACAUGUUUUCAAAUGACCACAAACUAUGACCUAAAGAAAUUAGUGGAAGAGCAUUCCAGGAAGAAUUGUAAAGUCUCUGAUGCUGGAAAGGCUUGGUGUGUUUAAGGAAAUGAAAGGCCAGAAAGGCUUGAGCACAGCAAGGGCAGAAGGUAAGAUUUGAGGUUAGAUGUGGACAGAAGCCAUAUUAGGCAGUUAUAGGUGCUUGGAUUUUAUUCUGGAUGCAGUGAGGGCUGUUGAAAGAUUUAAGGUUUGUAUUCACUUCUUGAAAGGAUCACUCCAGCUAAUAUGCAGAGAAUGGAUUGAGGUGAGAUAAGGGUAGGGAAAACCAGUUAGGAUGCUAUUGGAGUGGUUUGGGGAGAGAGAGUGAUGGCUUGGACAAGAAUGUUGGCACUGGAGAUGAAAAGAAGUAGAUAGAAAUGGUGGAAGUAAAUGAACAAGUCUACCAGGAGACUGAAUGUGAGAGAAGGAAAGGAAGGCAGGAAACAAGAAUUCUUGGGUUUUAGGCUCAUGUCCAUCUUGAUGGUGGAGCCCUUUCUGUGAUUGGAAGACUAAGAGAGGAACUUGUUGAUACGGGCAAAAGGUAAAAUCCAGAGUCCAGUUCUAGGCACGUCAAACUUGAGAGGUUUGUAAGGUAUACUGAAGGCAAGAAGUAGACAUUUGGAUAUAUGAGCCUGAAACUCAGUGGAGAGCUUGGGACUGGAAAUAUAAAUUUGGGAAUUAUCAGCAUAUGGAUGGUAUUUAAAGCUGUAGGCCUCGGUGAGGUCACCAGGGGAAAAUCUAGAACAAAAGAGUGUGGAGACUGAGCCCUGUAAAGGGUAGCCUGCAAAGGAGAUUGAAAAGGAGUGGCCAAAAAAGACAGCAGGGAAACUAGGGCAUUGGAUGUUAUAGAUACCCGAGAAAGCGUUGGUCUGAAUGACCGUUAAGACUCCUCCAGAUAUGAAUUUCUGUAACUUUAUGGAUGUUUCAAAUCCCUUCAAGCUGGGAAAUUCUGUCUCUGUUGCAUCUUUGGGAUAACAAACUUCCUGAAGAAUCACUGUGUCUUUUCAAAGACUGAAAAUGGAUUCCCAGCAAUGUGAAAUCUUGUGCCUGAGUCCUAAAGUGAUCAAAGGUAAGGUUGAGCCUAGGACAAAAUGAGGAUCCCCUGGAGGGAAGCUAGGGCAACACAGUAAGUGGCAAAAGAAUACGAGUGAGGUUAUUUGACUAUCCUCUUCCAGUAGGGCUGGCUCAGCUAUGGCAGACCCCAGGGUGGUUAGGACAAAUGGCAGCCCCAUACAGGGACAUACAUGGACACUGAUCCUUGUUUUUUUCCUUUUUGGGGCCUUUCUGAAUCUCCACUCCAUGUGCAGGGUUGACCUGUUUCCUUGAGGAACUCUGAGAUUUGCAUCAAUGGAGUUAUCUGAGGGCUCUGUGGCUUGGGCUCUGUGCAGGAGGGCAGCCUGGCAAUUGGAUUGUUCCUGCUGGCUGGUGCCAUUGUGUGAUAUUGAGUCACCAGAAUGGUGCCGAUGCACUGCUUUUGGGUGAUAAUCAGGCGCAGGAUGAAUUCGGGGCACUGGGCUACUGAUGGUCAACUGUUAGCACCUGGGCUUGGGCUGUGUGUGGGCACCCAUGCCUCAGCUCUCACCUGUUCAUGUUCCUCCAUGGUACCAUCUCUGAUUUGUGGCGUUCAAAGGCGUAGGAUGGCAGCAAGCCUCCUUUACCCUGUAUAUCCAUCCCCUUGCUGUUGGCACCUAAGGUUGUCACCCCAUGCCCUCAUCAGUCUCUGUACCACAUAUCAGGAAGUCCUCCAGUGGUGGCUAUGCCUGCCUUCUCUGAGGACUUUAAAGACCUUGGCUUUGCCACGCCAACAGGCUCUUCCAACCAGUGCCUUUCCUCCAAAUGAUAUGGCGAUGUUUUGCUUUCCCAGGUCGAUCUUAAGCCAUUCCCAACAAGGAGUGGACAUCCUUGUGUGAAAAACACUGUUUUUCUUGCUCCAGUCACGUCUCCUUGCCUUUCUUGUCUUUUGGUGGUAGUGUGCAGAAGCAGAGGUGCAGGAAAUGUUGAAAGGGAUCACAUUCUAAGAAUGUAGUUAUAAUGGCCUGAAGAAUUCAAGAGAAUACAUGGUUGGAAGAUGUGUCACUUUAUGGUUACACUAUAAAACUCCAAAUGAAAAAUAAAUUAUCAUUCAUACUUUCCUGAAUAUUCUGGGUAAGGCUUGCAUUUUGGUCAUUAUUAAUGAAGUACAGAAACAACCUCUGAGAGAGUGGUUGGAUGCCAGUAUUUGCAGGUGCCACGAUGAAUGAUGCAGCACUAUCAGUCAAGAUGCAACCAACAUUAGACAAAUGGUAUCAGAGAACCACAGAGGCGAAAAAACAAAACCAAAACCCAAAACUAUAUUGUUUCAAUACAAACAGGUUCCAAAAGCUAUGACAUCGUGAGUGACAACAAUGUUGCCGCCUCUUUCUCACAAUAGGAAAUAAAACUUUAACCAAAAGAGCAUGGGCAGAUAUUUCCCGGAUCUGAACAGGAAUAGCUGGUGUCUGGACUCUAUGAAGAAUCUUCAUGUGCAGUGAUAGAAGAAUAAACACAUUUGAACCAAGUUCACCAUGGAGAGAGUGAGUGGGUUGGGGAAAAGGUGUUGUAUGUUUGAGGAGCGAGGAGAAGGUGUCAAAUAAUCAUCCAGGCAGACUUUUGUAGUGCACAGUGACCGGUGACCAGCAGCAUGUGUUUCCAUAGGCAUCUUCUCUCAGUACCCCAGAAGGUGAAUUGCCAGUGAGUCCUGCCAGGAUGCCCCUCGGUGACUGCACCACCCAGUAAGUCAUGGCUGUGUACUUCCCAUCAAGGUCUGGAUCUCAGCUCAGGUAGUGGGGGCUGCUCUUCCAUAGUCAUUCCAUCCUUGUGUGCUCUGCCUCAGCCCUGGGGAUAGUGGCCGCUUUCUGUACAUGUCAGUCCUCUAUUCUUUAGACUUCUUGUUACCCCAUUAGCAGCCAAUUCUCUUUUGUUACUGCUUAGCAGCCAACUUUUUUUAUAUUAAACUUUCCCCAACCAUCUGGAAGCUAGACUUCUGAAAUCAAGUUGUUGGCAGGAUUGGUUCCUUCUGAGGGCAGUGAGGGAAGGAUCCAUUCCAGGCUUCUCUCCUUGGCUUAUUGGUAAAAAGACAUCCCUUAACUAUGGCAAAACAACAACAACAACGACGACAAAAAACAAAACAAAACAAAACAAAACCCUGCAUCAAUUUGAUAAAUAAUCCUCCCCGUUGAU